CAACUUUCGACAACGGAUCUCUUGGCUCUCGCAUCGAUGAAGAACGCAGCGAAAUGCGAUAAGUAAUGUGAAUUGCAGAAUUCAGUGAAUCAUCGAAUCUUUGAACGCACCUUGCGCCCUUUGGUAUUCCGAGGGGCAUGCCUGUUUGAGUGUCAUUAACAACCAUCAAC
This 170-nucleotide ribosomal RNA is filed under the name Schizophyllum amplum. Its description in RNAcentral is "Auriculariopsis ampla 5.8S ribosomal RNA". It matches the Rfam family "5.8S ribosomal RNA". From Rfam's summary of the family: 5.8S ribosomal RNA (5.8S rRNA) is a component of the large subunit of the eukaryotic ribosome. The record is from RNAcentral. Lineage: Eukaryota; Fungi; Basidiomycota; Agaricomycetes; Agaricales; Schizophyllaceae.